RNAcentral lists this long non-coding RNA (266 nucleotides) under Linum usitatissimum (flax). RNAcentral describes it as "long non-coding RNA (LUSI_LNC000693)". Lineage: Eukaryota; Viridiplantae; Streptophyta; Magnoliopsida; Malpighiales; Linaceae. The record is from RNAcentral.
ACACAACAUCUCAUGUGUGUAUUCACAUGACAUUGGCACCAGAAUUAGGAAACAGAACCUCAUGAUUCUUUCCGCUGAGAAUUAUUCGUAGUUUUUAAAAAAAAUGUUGGCUCGGUAAUAUUUUUCUCCAGAACUUGAAUUGAGGAUUAACGCAGAUUCCUCACUUUCACAACAUGGUCUGAACUAUGAAGCUAUCAUUUGUACUGCUUAUACUUCCGGUAUGUUGUUGAUUUUCUGCUUCCAGGUACAACUUACUAAAUUUGGUU